UCCCCGCCUGGGGAGUACGGCCGCAAGGCUGAAACUCAAAGGAAUUGACGGGGGCUCACACAAGCGGUGGAGCAUGUGGUUCAAUUCGAAGCAACGCGCAGAACCUUACCAGGGUUUGAAAUGCACGGAUUAGCCUCCCGAAACGGAGGUGACGCCCUUGGGUGGAACGUGCACAGGUGUUGCAUGGCUGUCGUCAGCUCGUGACGUGAGAUGUCGGGUUAAGUCCCUGAACGAGCGAAACCCUUGUCGUUAGUUGCCAGCGGGUCAUGCCGGGGACUCUAGCGAGACUGCCGUUGUCAAAACGGAGGAAGGUGGGGAUGAAGACUAUAC
RNAcentral lists this unclassified non-coding RNA (330 nucleotides) under uncultured Planctomycetota bacterium. RNAcentral's name for it is "uncultured planctomycete contains 16S-23S intergenic spacer region". It matches the Rfam family "Bacterial small subunit ribosomal RNA", at positions 866 to 1191 of the family's 1533-position model. Lineage: Bacteria; Pseudomonadati; Planctomycetota. The record is from RNAcentral.